AUUGAACGCUGGCGGCAGGCCUAACACAUGCAAGUCGAACGAGUGGCGGACGGGUGAGUAAUGUCUGGGAAACUGCCCGAUGGAGGGGGAUAACUACUGGAAACGGUAGCUAAUACCGCGUACCAUCGGAUGUGCCCAGAUGGGAUUGGCUUGUAGGUGAGGGAACGGCUCACCUAGGCGACGAUCCCUAGCUGGUCUGAGAGGAUGACCGGCCACACUGGAAGUGAGCAACGUGUCAGAUUCCUACGGGAGGCAGCAGUGGUGAAUAUUGCACAAUGGGCGCAAGCCGGAUUCAGCCAUGCCGAGUGUAUGAAGAAGGCAUUCGGGUUGUAAAGUACUUUCAGCGUGGAGGCGUUACCCUCAGAAGAAGCACCGGCCAACUCCGUGCCAGAAGCCGCGGUAAUAC
This 406-nucleotide ribosomal RNA is filed under the name uncultured bacterium. RNAcentral's name for it is "partial 16S ribosomal RNA". It matches the Rfam family "Bacterial small subunit ribosomal RNA", at positions 30 to 526 of the family's 1533-position model. The record is from RNAcentral.